Molecule: ribosomal RNA, 2075 nt
Filed under: Candidatus Omnitrophota bacterium
Lineage: Bacteria; Pseudomonadati; Candidatus Omnitrophota
Description: bacterial LSU rRNA
Rfam family: Bacterial large subunit ribosomal RNA
Source: RNAcentral
GUUAAGCUACUAAGGGUCUAUGCACGGAUGACUUGGUUAGGUGAGGCGAUGAAGGACGGGGUAAGCACCGAAAUGCCUCGGGUAGCCGCAAACAGGCUUUAAUCCGAGGGUGUCCGAAUGGGGGAACCCUUCCGGUCGAAAUACCGGAAACCCUACGAUGAAUACAUAGUUGUAGGGAGCGAACCAGAAGAAGUGAAACAUCUAAGUACUCUGAGGAAAAGAAAUCGAACAGAUUUCCCCAGUAGCGGCGAGCGAAAAGGAAACAGUCUAAACCUUUUUUGUUUUCGCAAGAAAACAAAAAAGGGGUUGUGGGGCCUCGUCAUGGUAGGCUAAGGGAUAGCAGAAAUGCCUGGAAAGGCAUACCAAAGAAAGUGAAAGUCUUGUAAGCGAAAUUCUGCAGCCGCCUAGAGGUACCCCAAGUACCACGGGACACGGGGAAUCCUGUGGGAAUCCAGGCCGACCACGGUCUAAGACUAAAUACUCCACCUAAACCGAUAGUGUACAAGUACCGUGAGGGAAAGUUGAAAAGAACCCCGGGAGGGGAGUGAAAUAGAACCUGAAAUCAUAGACCUACAAGCGGUGGAAGGGCUAUGGUCCGGCGUAAGCCGGACAAUGCCUGACCGCGUACCUUUUGCAUAAUGGACCGACGAGUUAUUCUUGUAAGCGAGUCUAAGUAAGCUGUUAACGCAUCUUACGCAGGCGUAGGGAAACCGAGUCUUAAAUGGGCGUUUAGCUUGCAGGAAUAGACCCGAAGCUGAGUGAUCUACCCAUGGCCAAUGGGAAGCCUUCCGAAAGGAGGGUGGACGUAUGAACCCGUCAGUGUUGAAAAACUGUGGGAUGAGCUGUGGGUCGGAGCGAAAGACUAAUCAAACUCAGAAAUUGCUGGUUCUCCCCGAAAUAUUUCUAGGGAUAGCCUCAAGACACUACGUUAUAGGGGUAGAGUACUGAAUGGACUACGGGAGUCUACCGACUUGCUGAGUCCAACCAAACUGCGAAUACUAUAACGACUAUCUUGGGAGUAAGACGUUGGGGGCCAAGCUCCAUCGUCUAGAGGGAAUCAGCCCAGACCGCCAGUUAAGGUCCCUAAGGACAGGCUAAGUGGUAAAGGAUGUGGAUUCGCUUAGACAGCCAGGAUGUUGGCUCAGAGGCAGCCAUCAUUUAAAGAGUGCGUAACAGCUCACUGGCCGAGCGGAUUCGCGCCGAAGAUGAUCGGGGCUAAGCCUGUUACCGAAACUGUGGGUUCAUUUUGCCCUCGGGCAAAGUGAGCGGUAGGGGAGCAUAGUCCAACGAGUGAAGUCAUACCGUAAGGAGUGAUGGACGUUGGACUAGGGAUUAUGUCGGUAUGAGUAGCGAAAACGUCUGCGAGAAACAGACGCGCCGAAAGUCCAAGGUUUCCUGGGGAAGGUUAAUCCGCCCAGGGUUAGUCGUGCCUAAGCUGAGGCCACAAGGCGUAAGCGAUGGACAAUCCGUUAAUAUUCGGAUACUUACUUAUUGGCGUUACGUUUUCCGUGUGACGCAGAAUGUUGAUAUCUGCGCAGUGUUGGACGUCUGCGUUCUUGUUUCCGUAAGGGGAUGAGGGGACCCUGAGGUUUCUGAGGGGGAAGUGGUUGAAAACGGGCUGCCUAGAAAAGCACGGGGAGCAGUCAGUAGGUGACACGUACCGUAAUCCGACACAGGUAGACCACCAGAAUAUGGUAAGGCGUUCGAGAUAACUCUCGUUAAGGAACUCGGCACACUAGCCCCGUAACUUCGGGAUAAGGGGUGCCCUUCGUCGAAAGGCGUAAGGGUCUCAGUAAAGUGGCUCGGGUGACUGUUUAGCAAAAACACAUCUCUCUGCAAACUCGAAAGAGGACGUAUAGGGAGUGACACCUGCCCAGUGCUGGAAGGUUAAGGGAAUUUGUCAGUGAGAGUAAUCUUACGAAGCAUUGAACCGAAGCCCCAGUAAACGGCGGCCGUAACUAUAACGGUCCUAAGGUAGCGAAAUUCCUUGUGGGGUAAGUUCCCACGCGCACGAAUGGUGUAACAACCUGAGCGCUGUCUCAACGAGAGACUCGGCGAAAUUGUAGUGGCGGUGA